This 576-nucleotide long non-coding RNA is filed under the name Bos taurus (domestic cattle). RNAcentral's name for it is "long non-coding RNA NONBTAT018314". The record is from RNAcentral. Lineage: Eukaryota; Metazoa; Chordata; Mammalia; Artiodactyla; Bovidae.
UAACAAGCUUACAAUUUUCAAAACAUAGCCAUAUUGGGUUAUCUAUGGUAGGGCAAAUAUCCACCUCACCAGUACAUUUUUACGAUAUCACAUUACACUAGAAAAUUAAGCAAUUCAUAUUUUUAUUAGGAAUGUUAAUGAAAGAAUGUUAUUAUAAUCUGCAUGGCCUAUUUUAAAGCUUAAGCAUGUUACACAUUAUUUUAUCAAAGAUUGUUAAAAUAAUAUUAAUAGCUUUAGACUUUAGAGGAAUAAAUGUUUUUGACUAAAAAACAUUUCAAUAGAAUACUUCAUUCCUGUGUGGUUUUGAAUGAGGUACCAUUAUAUCACAUACUGAGAAUGGUUCUGUGCCCUGAUUCUUAAUUAAUUCCGAUCAGUCUUACUCUUUUACUGGAGAAGUUUGCCAGUUUAACCAGUAUGCUGUGAUAAUUUAAUAUGUUUCACAGAUAACUGAGGAGACAUGAGACCUGUCAUCCUGUCCAUGAACGUAUGUAAUGCAUUUCUGAUACGUCUUCACCUGCUCUGUCUAUAGGCAAAUGUCACUUUUAUGUCUGUGCCAAGAAAAUAAAAAUCUUUUCU